GACGAACCGAGCGAACGUUGUUCGGAAUCACUGGGCUUAAAGGGCGCGUAGGCGGGCUCUCAAGUCCGGGGUGAAAUCCCACAGCUCAACUGUGGAACUGCCUCGGAUACUGGGGGCCUCGAGGGUGGUAGGGGUAUGCGGAACUAUCGGUGUAGUGGUGAAAUGCGUAGAUAUCGGGAGGAACACCAGUGGCGAAGGCGACUACCUGGCCUGUUCUUGACGCUGAGGCGCGAAAGCUAGGGGAGCAAACGGG
Molecule: ribosomal RNA, 253 nt
Filed under: uncultured bacterium
Lineage: Bacteria
Description: partial 16S ribosomal RNA
Rfam family: Bacterial small subunit ribosomal RNA
Source: RNAcentral